Molecule: ribosomal RNA, 253 nt
Filed under: uncultured bacterium
Lineage: Bacteria
Description: partial 16S ribosomal RNA
Rfam family: Bacterial small subunit ribosomal RNA
Source: RNAcentral
UACGGAGGGCGCGAGCGUUAAUCGGAAUUACUGGGCGUAAAGCGCGCGUAGGCUGUUGUGUAAGUUGGGGGUGAAAUCCCACGGCUCAACCGUGGAACAGCCCUUGAUACUGCGCGACUUGAAUCCGGGAGAGGGUGGCGGAAUUCCAGGUGUAGGAGUGAAAUCCGUAGAUAUCUGGAGGAACAUCAGUGGCGAAGGCGGCCACCUGAACCGGUAUUGACGCUGAGGCGCGAAAGCGUGGGGAGCAAACAGG